RNAcentral lists this unclassified non-coding RNA (211 nucleotides) under plant metagenome. Its description in RNAcentral is "partial contains small subunit ribosomal RNA, internal transcribed spacer 1, and 5.8S ribosomal RNA". The record is from RNAcentral.
UUUCCGUAGGUGAACCUGCGGAAGGAUCAUUCAUAAUAAAGUGUUUUAUGGCACUUUUUAAAAAUCCAUAUCCACCUUGUGUGCAAUGUUUGAUCUCGUCAAUCUUGGCGAGAUUUUUAUACAUCAACUCAUUCUUUAACUAAAUUGUCUGAAAAAUAUUAUGAAUACUUAAUUCAAAAUACAACUUUCAACAACGGAUCUCUUGGCUCUC